UCCCCUUCAUGGAGAUUAAAAGUUUCCCAGUGCUGUUUUCAGCUCUGCAGAGCAAGUAAAAGAUAAUCUCCUGCUUGGAUAUCCUCGUGCUACUGCGAUCCACUAAUAGGAUCACCAUCCAGUUUUGACUUAACAGGCACCGGGAGAGGAUAAUCCUGUUUAUUCGGUCAUCCAAAGCACUGAUGAUGAUCUGAGAUAAUCGGUGGCUGAGAGCAGCGAGGAGGGAUGCGCGAGGUCCUCCAUGCCUGGAUGGAUGAGUCAGAUGCUCAGCACUGCAGCCCCAAUGCGAUGUGGAGAAAGCCCCAACCAUCCUCACUAAGAAGACAGAAACCAACCAGGUGUUUGGGGCCCUGAAGGUGCGAUUUUCAUGUGUGGCUGUUUGAUGAGCCCUGAAGGGCAGAAUUCUUGCUCUCCAACCUUCCUUCCUCUGCACCCGAAGAGUCAGCACUGAACACUGUGCUCCUCCUGACGGUGCUUCAGGGCUCCUCGUGCAGAGCUCCAUGCUGCAGCACAGCCCUAAAGGCAAAGGCACAUCUGUGCUGAAGGCACCGCUGCUGCACUCCAGCCCCCAGAUUGAAGUAGUGGCUGCACUGCUCCAAAGGCACCACGUGUGUUGUGCAUGUAGCACCAUUUCCGUAUUGGUGUUGGAAAGAAAGAAGAGGUGUUGUAUGCUGGCUGCAGACAGCUGCGGCUCUGAGAAUCCCUUCUAAAGAGACAGCAAGAGUUACCCAGAAUGAGCAAGGCUUCUGGCACUCGCUCAAGGAUUACAGAGGUUUUGCAGGGUGACAGCAGUUCUGCAAUCAGCCCGCAGGGAGCAGCAGAGCGGUACCGGGCUGCUUUCCUCCCGGAGCCCCUCGGGGCUGGCAGCGCCUAGCGAUGCAUCUGCAGAACCCCAGGAGGGAGUGCGCGUCCCCACCGCCCUGAGGGCAUCACGCCGUGCCGCAGCGGGGCUGUCCUGCGGCAGCAUCCGAGCAGGGCGAGAUCUCAUGUGACAGCCGCUGCCCUGCACAGCAGCAGCAUGGGACCAGCAGGAGAGCACUGGCUGUGUGGCUUCACAAGAAUGCAAUGUUUGGAUGGCGCUGGGGCUCUGGUAGCAUUUGUUUCCACCCACCUUCUCCAGUUUGCUCCAUGAAAGCCCUUGGCUGAGCUCCUGCAUGGGGCUGUGGGACAGCGAUGGGAGGAGCUGGAGCUGGAGCUGGAGCUGGAGCUGGAGCUGGAGCUGGAGCUGGAGAAUGGAGCAGGAGCCUCAGGAGUCGCUUGGGGCUGAAGAGCGAGGAGAAGCUCGUUUGUUAUGCAAAUAUCUGCUUCGGCCUGGCCUGGCAUAGGCAGUGGAAAGCUCUUGAAUUAUUUUAAGCAGAGGACAAAAGUUCUUUCCCUCCCCCAAUCAUCUUGGAUCCUUGUUAAAACAAAACAAAACAGAAACCUCUGUGUGAACCAUCUGAGGAUGAUCAGCGCUCUGCUUUCCUGGCAGGAGUGGUGUGGCCAGGAGAGCACAGGCACAGGGAAAUAGAACAAUUAAGACAAAAGAAUGUAUUGGAGGCAGACAGGCUUUAUUUUGUUCUGAUAACAGUAAUAACGAAGCACCCUCCAGCCUUAUCACCACCAGCAUGCUAGGGGCAGGCAGGCCACUGGGGGACAGGGCCAUCCCUGGGCCACCUGCAGGGAGGACACGGGGCAGCCAUUCCAGGGAGCCACUUGGGAUGGCUGGUUUUAUGGCUGGUUUGGUGGGUGGCUGGGUUAGAUGGCUGGUUUGGGUGCUUGAAACACAACUCAAGGAGCCACCCAUGCGUGUCUUAGAGGACAGGGCCAUCCCACCACGGCACGAUGCGGGAGCAGGUGUGCAUUUAAUGGCUGCUGAGAUACAGUGCUGCAUUUCCAUACAGCCCUGUGCUGCUGCUCGAAUGGCUGCUGGCUGCUCUCAGGCCAUGCAUGGCACCCAUAGGGGGGGACACACAGAGCUGCGGGGACGCACUCACAGGCAGGGCUGGAUUUUGGGGAUACUAGCACAGCAGAAGGGGCUGGAAGGACACAAGGUGUCUGUGCCCUGGAUAAGAGUCCAGUAGCUGGCUCCCAGGAUCACCCAAACACUGGGUGCUGUGGGCCAGCUGCAGUUUGGCCACUGAGAGAGGAGCUGGGUCUGCAGUGCAGCAGUGUGUGGGCCACAUUUUCCUGUCUAUGUGAGCUGCUUCAUUUCCUAAAUGCAGAAAUUCUGAACUACACAAAGCAGCUGCUCUCAUGGGCCUUUUAAAAAGUUAGAAAAUUUGUGUGGGCAUUGCAAUGUUUAUUUUCUUUGAAGGCAUUUCUAACCUUCCAUUAAGAAAGGUUAGAUAGAAAUUGAAACUCUGCCUUUAAAGAUGACAUGCUAGAAGCAGCACAGAAGCAUAAGCAAAUCAGGAGAGAUUUGGAGCGUGUGCCUAAAAUCCACUGUGGGGGGAUACAUUCUCUUAAAGCUUGUCAGUGCUGCUGCAAGCUCAAGGCCUGCGGUGCUGCACAAUGCCCAGCUGGCACCACGGGGGUUAAGGCUGUGCGCCUGCAGCACAGAGCACUGGAGCUGUCCUGCCCAAGGCAGGAUGCUGGCAUCGUCCCCUCACUCUUCUCCCCGGUGUCACACAGCUGCCAGUGCACCCCAGCAAACACGACCCAUUCUCCCUGAGCAGCGCUGGGAGCAGAGGGAGAGGGAAAAGGAGGCGACGGCAGCGAGGGGAAGGUUGAACUUUCAUGCAGUGUUGUUUUUUGGUGCUGGAGACAGGCUGUGCAUGGAGCAGGGCCCUCCUCCAGCUCCCCCACGCUUUGCUGGGGCUCUCCGCUUUGU
Centrocercus urophasianus (Greater sage-grouse) is the source of this 2812-nucleotide long non-coding RNA. RefSeq lists it as uncharacterized. NCBI's taxonomy places the organism in Eukaryota, Metazoa, Chordata, Aves, Galliformes, Phasianidae. The record is from RefSeq and is a predicted model, not a curated record. The transcript is spliced from 3 exons.